UUAAAGUUCCUGAGGUGCCUAAGAAAAGUAUUCAAGAAGAAAUAUCAACUAUAGUUCUUUCUGAAGACACAACGAUAUACAUGUAUGAAGUAUCCGAAGAAUCAACCACAGAAGAAAAAGUAUUUAUGACUCAUCCUCAAAAGACAAAACCCAAACUAGCAAAAGUGCCUGAACCACCCAAGAAAGUUGUUCCAGAGGAUAAAAAAUAUGUGACUAUUCCUAAAAAGAGAGAAACGCCAGC
Molecule: long non-coding RNA, 241 nt
Organism: Myotis daubentonii (Daubenton's bat)
Lineage: Eukaryota; Metazoa; Chordata; Mammalia; Chiroptera; Vespertilionidae
Exons: 3
Source: RefSeq, a predicted model, not a curated record